Bos taurus (domestic cattle) is the source of this 982-nucleotide long non-coding RNA. Lineage: Eukaryota; Metazoa; Chordata; Mammalia; Artiodactyla; Bovidae. The record is from Ensembl.
GAGCAAGGUAGAGGGAGUUUUGAGAGACACACAGGGAAGGUGACAUGAACAUGAAGCAGGGAGAAAUGUGGCCACUAGCUGAGGAAUGCUGACAGCCCCCAGAAGCUGAAAAGCAAGGAAUGGACUCCCCGCUAGAGACUUGGGAAAGAGGGCAGCCUGCUGACACCUUGACCUCAAACUUUUGGUCUCCAGAACUGUUUUACACUGCCGAUCUGAAAUGAAAUUGCAGCCUUCCAUAAUGAGCAAGUGAGGCUCAGAGGCAGAAUGGAUUGAGCUUCACCAAUACCUGUCACCGGCAGUCACGGACCCUUUGAAACGACAAAUGGCAGAGUAUUAUAUUGCUGAGGCAUCUAUGGUAGACGUUAGAAUGUGAGUACCUUUGACCAAGAGCCCAGCUCUUGUCAUCCAUCACAGAGAUCCACCAAGACCAUGCUUUCUGCUGCUCCCUGGGACAUUUCUCAGUGACUGCUUGUGGGAAGGACACCAUGGCAGCCCCAUUCCUGAGAGACACAGGGCUUCUUUGACUUUGCUGGAGGACUCCUAGGUGACCUGGACAAAUCUCCCUGAGACCUAACAGCAAUUAGGUAAUGUCAAUCCAAUCUUCCUUUCUUCUUCCUUUUUCACUUGAUGGGAUUUGCAUUGUGGUCUGAGGGCUCUCCCAGCCUUUCCAGUCUUCCUUUCCAUUUUCUCUCAAAAGCAUUUCCCCUAAGAAAUUCUUUCCACGUUGGAACUGACCUUAGCAUCUUCUCAGAGGACUCAGUCAAAAAUAACAUUCACACUGUUGCAUAUAACUGAAAUUUAUUGUUUUAACUAUUCAAUUAUAUGAGUAUAAUGUCCAGUGAUGAGUGUAGAUAAAUACAUUGUCAUAUAUUCAUGACUGCAUGUACCCAUUGUUUCUAGAUUUUACCAUUAUGAAGAACAUUGCUAUUAACAUCCCUGUAUAUGUUCAAUAAUUUGCCUUGGAUAUUUAUCCAGAAAUGAA